This is a long non-coding RNA of Gallus gallus (chicken), 1629 nucleotides long. The record is from Ensembl. NCBI's taxonomy places the organism in Eukaryota, Metazoa, Chordata, Aves, Galliformes, Phasianidae.
UGUGACUGAGCAAGCUGCAAAGGAAGCCAGAGAGGAACUUGGGCUCUGUGAAGUCCUGGCAUCUGAUCAGUGCCUGAGCUGAAGCAGGCUGCAUUACCCAGCCUGGCUCCCCUGCACAAGGAAGGCUGCAGAAGACACAUCAAGCUGGCAUCCACAAGCCAGCAGAGCAGCACAGAGGAUUCUUCUUGCCUUUCUCUGCAAAAUGAGAACUCAUCCCUCCUUCUGGACCAGUUGGAAAAGUUACCAAAGCAAACUCCCUGCUUUUGCAGAAUACUGCUCUGACAAAGUAGACCUUGGGAAUCAGCCAUCACGGACAGCACCAGCUGGGAUCGGUCCUCUUUCCAUCACUGAUAUUAUAUAAACAUGUUGCUACAGAUUUACGUACAGCACAAGAGAACUAAACUUUCAAGAAGGCUGAGCUGCAGGCUCAACAAAGAAAACAGUGAUAGCAGAGGGUAGGUAACAAGGUGCUGAAUACAGGAGAAGCGAAAUAUUUAGAGAACUGGUGCGUGGGUUGCUGCCCUGCUGCCUGGUGAGCCCAUGGAAAGACUGGGUAUGCUUCUGCAUCUGGGAGCAGCUCCUUGCGUCAGAGCAACAUAGUGAGAAUGACCUCCAUGUCAGGUAGGCAGGUAGAGGGGGGCACACGCCAGCUGUGCUGACAUUCCUCACACUGCUUCAGCUGGGAGGUUAUUUCAGAACACCUGACAUUAUCAGAGAGCUCCUACCAGGCUUUCGGAUGAGGGUGGGUGCAACCAAGCCAACCCAGGGGAUUUUUGCUAUUGCUUAAAUUGACAGCAUAAAAUGGUGAAAAAGUUCAAGAAAGAGCGGAACACCCGUAACAAAAACAUUACAUUGGACAGAUGAUAAAGAAUUUUUAUUAUAGCUAACAGUGAACAGGAACCAAUCUCUGCACUGAAGCAGAAAAAGCAGUGAGCAAACAUGGGAACAGUGACUGACUGCAGACAUGCUGAAAUCAUUAAAAGCCAUGACAAGAAAAGUAUAGGCACCUUAUGCAAGAUUUAUGAAAGCUGCCUGAAGAAGGCUAUGCAAACUCUGCCAGAGAGAAUUAAGCAAGAAUUACCUAAAAACGUAUGUAAACAAGGUAUAGUGGAAGAGAAAGAGGCAACAGGAACACUGUGGGAAGUAACCUAGACAUCGGGUCAGAAACCACAGCAUCAGCACUUUGCCCUACAGCAGCGAUCAUGAGGAAAGGACAUUGAAGAACAAGUGCACGCCUCCUCCAGUAAAUCAAGUUUUCUGCUCAUGUACGUCACAGAAUGCUGCAGCUAAGAGGCUCUCAUGUAUUUUUCACCCUGAUGUGCUGUCUGUGCUUUAGCUGUCUGUGCUUUAGCUGUGCCUAGCUUUAGCCAGGAACAGAAAGGUGGAAUAAAAUGUGGCAUACCUGUGCCAAAGGAACAACCUGAAAGACUGAGAAAUAGGGUUCAGCAAACUACAAGUGCUCAAGAGCACAGGCACCUGAGCCUCUUUUCAAACCCCCAGUUUCAGAAACCUUAUUAAUGCAUUAGCCAGAGAGAACUCAUAAGGUGAAAGACACGUGUUACAUUUUUCUUCUAAUAUAUGCUCUGAUCAAAAACUGAGAUGAAAUUUCUCUGCUUUAAUUGGCAGCAC